UUAUUUUUCAAAUAAUUUGAGACCUCAUCAUGUGUAUUAUUUUAUAAAGUAAAUCUUAACAAGAUGAUGUGAAUGGUUCUGAAACCAAAAUAUAUGUUAUAUGUUGUUCAACAACACAGCACUAUCUAGAAGUACUUAAACUUGAUAGAAUAACCCAGCACCACCACCUGCUGUUUGAUACAGAAAAUUCAACUUAGUGAGCUCACUUUUAGCUUGAUCUAGUUAUAAAUUAUCAUGAGGAUAAAGUGCCAUUAUCAUCCUUAUCUCUCAGAUUUUAAGGUCUUUAAAUAAUGUAUGUCUUGAGCAGAUACAGAUUUUAAAAUAUACCGAUAUUUCAAAGGGAAGAGAUAAACAGAACAAAACAAGGAAAGCCAAAUCAGAUAAAUAAAUACCUUGAAUUUGAGCACUCUAUUGUACUCUAAAGAUAAGAGACUGAAUUAUCCUACUAAGGAAUCCCAUAAGCUUUUCAUCUUAGUGAUUUCAGAGACUAUACACGUCUUUCCUCUGUGUAUUUAUUACUGGUAACAGGUAUACGACCAAUGUAAUACAGAGGGAAAACACGACUUCUUAAAUUAAGACAAAUUUGGAUUUGAAUUCCAGCCUUUCCACCUGUUAGCUUUAAGCUCAGUCCAAUUAUGCAGCCUCUCUACCCCCCUGCUGCAGAUUUGAAAAAUUGGGAUAUCAACAUGGACCUAGGGUGUUAUAUGAAGCACUGGGGACACAUGUUAGGCACUAAAGAAUGGCAUCUCUGAUGAUAUUAUUUUGUCCACGAUUGACAUAUAUAAGAAAAAUUUUAAAACCUAGGCUUUUACAUUUUUGAAUGAAAGUUGAUUAGCAUGUCCGUUUCUGCAAUGCGUUGCAAUGUGCUUCAGUUAAAUUAACUAGUUGAUUUCAUUUGUAAUCUUUUGAGUUCCCUAUAUAUCCUUGGCAAUAGAAUAGAACAGUAUCACUCAAAUCCCAAAUUUGGGAAGUUCAAAUCAGACCAGACCAUGGACAGAUGAGAGGGUUAUCAUGAGAAGAUGUAAGAGGUUUUGUUUCUCAAAUAAGCAUAAAGUGUGGAACUUGAGUCAGACAGUCAACCUGAUUGAAACAUCAGAUUUACUGCGGACAAGCCUUAUAAUUUCAGCCUACAAUCCAGUUGGGUAUUAUCUUUGACAAGAAGACUCUGAAGGAAGUAGACAGUCCAAACACAUGUUUCAUGGAUAUAUUUGGAUUCAUCCUAUGAUGCAAGGUCACUUUGGAAAGCAUGACUCUGUCCUCAUGCACAAGCUUCCAAAAGAUUUAAAAAAAUGGAUUUUUAUCCUGUUUUCUGAUCUAAUCUCAUAGAAAGUAGUAAUUUUUUGAAACUUCAUUAUUAUCCUUAGGAUAGUAAUACUGUGAAUAAGGUCAUCACUAUGAGCCUUCUGUACAAAUUCAAUUAGAUGAGAAAAAUUAAAUAGAUCUGUAUCAUGGAACUUUUUGGUACUACAUAGAAUUAUACAAUGCAUGGAUGAAAAUAUAAAUAUGGAGAUGGAUGGAUAGAUACAGGGAUGGACAGAUGGAGAGACUUCAGAAAAGAAGUUUAGCAGGGGAAAAACGAAAGCUGUUCCUUACAUUAUAAUUCCAACUAAUAAAGAUAAAAGGAAUGAUAGAAAUAGAAAAUCACUAUUUGGAAACCACCCUCAUAAUAAAGUUUCAGGUAAGAAUUAUCUAUGGAUUUGUGGGUAAAAGUAUAGUUGAAAAGUAGGAUGAUUACAUAAUCUCAGAGUACCUCUCAACACCAUAUUUAUUAAUUGCAAAUGGAAAAUGGUAACUUUAAGUUGGAGAAAACUGGCAGAUAAUACCUUUACUAAGUGGACAAAGUUGAAAUUACCAUCCCACUAAUAGCACAUCGGCAUGAACCAAGAAAGACACAUUAUCCCUGUGGCAUUCCUGCCCCAUAUGCAUAAUUUGAAUUUAAUAACAAGGACAUAUCAGAAAAACCCAAACUGAGAAACAUUUUACAAGAUAACUGGCCUAUAUUCCAAAAACAAAAACAAACAAACUAACAAACAAACCCCAAAUCCUUAAAAGACAGAGAAAAACUGAGGACCUGUUCCAGAUUAAAGCAAGAUAAGGAACAUGAUAAUAAUAUGCAACGUGUGAUCCUGGAUCAGGUAAGAACAUUAGUGGUACAAAUGGAUGAAUUGGGAUAUAUGGCUUCUAGAUUAGAUGCUAGUACUAUUAAUAUUAAUUUCUUCAUUUUAUUCAUUGUAAUGUGGUUAGACAGAAUAUGUAUACUAAUGUAUUUAGAUGGAAAGGGUAUUAUGCCUGAAAAUUACUUUCAAAUAUUUCAUCAAUAGAAUAUUUAAAUAUAUUUUAUCUAUAUUUAUAUUUAUAUCCAUAGCCAUGCCCAGGGGGUCGGGGAGAGGAGAGAGAGAGAGAGAGAAUGGUAAAACAAACAAAGAUGUUAAAAGGUGGGAGAUCUGGGUUAGGAUAUAUUGAAACUCUUUACUAAUUCUGCAAUUCUUGGACAUCUGAAAUUAUUUCAAAAUUAAAAACUGAAAAUGGUAAAAGAAAGAGAAAAAAGGCAAAGAGGAAAAGAAGGAGGCAUGGGAGGAGAAUGGGGGUAGUGAGGGGGAUGAGGAGAAGGGUUUCCCUUUUCAGAAGGUCUUAGAGCAAAAUCCUCUCAUUCCUAACUAUUCUAUAACCUCAACGAUAGAAGCAUCAAUUUAUUGAGUGAGGAAAAUGUGGAUGGGAAAGAAGAAUAAAGAACCAGGAGCUGGAGUUUGGUGGGAUGAACAGCACAUCUAAUUGAAAGCAUUUCCUGAACUGUAAGCUCUGUGAGGAGAAGAAACAGGUUGGUUUUUGCUCACUGGUCUUCAUCUAGCUCUGAUACAAUGCCCGGCACCUAGGAUGUGCUCGGUAAACGUGUAUUAAAGGAAUAAUGUACAAUUUCUAAUUUGUGAUUUGUCCAACUCUUACUCUCCUCUUUUGCAAUGGUCCUGACACAUUCCUAAAUUCUGUUCACUAAACAUACAGGGAUUGUAAGCAUAGAAUUAUUCAAUCCAAGCAACCUUUUCAAGAGAGGAAAACUAACUUAUGUGAGACUGAGAAAUAUGGACUCUGACAUUACUCAGUAAUGAAGCCCAGGCAUAUCUUUGCUGGCCCAUGCUAAGAGGAAGGUCUGUGGUUAACUCACAUUCCUUUUCCCCUACUGAGCACUUGUAAAUUUCCUUGAACAUUAAUUUAAUAUUAAUAGCCUUAAACAGCUGUGGGAGAGUUGUGGUAAAAACAAGGCGGCUGGUAGAGAGCAGUGUCAUAUUUCAAACCCAAAUCCAAGGUCUCAGCAACGUCUAAUUUUUUGGAAUGUGAGUUGUGAAAUUUGAAAUUACUAGAAUAAUUGGAAGUGCCAGAGAACACUGGAUGAGUGGUAAUUAAAGCGGACGUGCAAGCCAGCCUGAGGGGCAAGGUGUGGCAAGAGGUGUCUGCCUCGCAAACUUAAUCUCUAUUCUUGAUGACAUCUGCAUUUUCCUUUAUAUUAGAUGAUAACUAAACCGGCCAAGUCUGAGAAUGCCUGCAAGCCCUCAACCUAAGGCAAUUCCUUAAGUAGAGUUCUCAGGAUGACUUCAAAGGGAUAUCACAUCUCCACACUCUACCAGUAGCUGAUGAAUGCAAGGCUGGGUCCUUCCCUCGCUGCCACCCAAUUCAUACCCCCAGUAACACCUAUGCAAGGGCCUGGAGCACAAGGUUGUAUGCGUAACAGCUAUAGUGGGGUUUUAUUUUGUGGUUAUAUUUUAUUGAAUAGGGUUACUGAGACAUAACUGACAUAAGAUAAUUGCACAAAUUUGUUGGGUAGGAUUUGAUGUUUUAACAUAUAUACACACCAUGUUUGAAUGUAUAUACCCCCCUGACACCAUCACCACAAUGGAGAUACUGAACAAUUCUAUCACCUCCAAAAAAAAGUGUCCUCCUACCCCUUUGUAACCCCUCUCUCUUGCCCCUCCCCAUCUUCCUUUCACACAAGACAACCACUCAUUUGCUUUCUUCCACUAUAUGUUAAAUGUCAUUUGCUAAAAUAGAUAGAAUCAUACUGUCUUAUUUUACACGGCUUCUUUAAUUUAGCAUAAUUAUUUUAUUGACAUUUACAUUCUCCAUGUUGUAGUACAAAUUCCUUUUCACUAUAGACUAACCCUCUAUUUUAUAACACACAACUUGUUUAUCCAUUUAUCUGCUGAACAUGUGGAAUGUUUGUAGCUAUUAAAAAUAGAGCUGAUAGUAAUGUUUACGUAAAAGUGUUUCUAAAAACAUAGCUUUCAUUCCUCUUGAGUAAGUGACUAGGAGUAGAAUAGCUGAGUUUAUGUUUAACUAUUUAAAAAACUUCAAAAUAUUUUCCAAAGUGGUUAUAAUAGUUUUGCAUUCCUAACAUGAGUGUAUGACAUUUCGAAUCCCCCAAGAACUUUGCCAACACUUAGUAUAGCAGGUCUUUUUUUUUUUUUUUUUUUUUUUAGGGAUAUAUUGUUAGCUCAUUGUGGUAUCUCGUUAAUUUGUUAUCUCCAAACUAACUAGUGAUGGUGAGUAUCUUUCAGCGUGUUCCUUUGUCAUCAGUACAUGUUUUAGUGAUUUAUUCAAAUAUUUUGUCCAUUUUUAGUUGGAUUGUUUAUUAUCGUUGUAAGAGUUCAUUUCAGUUCUUUACAAUUCCCCUUAUCCACAGGGAAUAUGUUCCAAGACCUCUGUGGAUGCCUGAAACUGUGGAUACUCCCAAACCCUAUAUAUACUGUUUUUUUUUUCCCUCUACAGUAGUAUCUAUGACAAAUUUAUAAAUUAUAUACAGUAAGAGAUUAACAACAAUAACCAAUAAUAACACAGGACAAUUUUAGCAACACACUCCAAUAAAACUUAUGUGAAUGUGGCCUCUUUCCCUCAAAAUAUCUUAUUGUACUUUAUUCACCCUUCUUGUGACGAUGUGAGACAAUAAAAUACCUACGUGAUGCGAUGAAGUGAGGUGAGUGACGCGGGCACUAUGACAAGGUGCAGGCUACUACUGACCUUCUGACAACAGGUGAGAAGAAGGAUCAUCGCCAUCUGGAUCACCAUUGACUGGUACAAAGUGAAACUGUGGAUACUGGAGGAUUGCUGUGUAUCUUCCGAAGACGUAUCCUUUAUCAUGUAUCAUGAAGCAUAUCAUAUGCACAUAAGUGCUUUGCAAAUAUUCUCUCCCUGACUGUGACUUGCCUUUUCAUUUUCUCAACAGCAUCUUAUGAAGAGUAGAUGUCUUUAAUUUUAAUGAAAAGCAGUUGCUCAAUCUGUUCUUUUAUGGACCAUGCUUUUGUUUUGUUUUGUUUUGUUUUGUUUUGGUGUUGGGAUAGGUGUGAAUUAAGAGGGCUUAUGCAAGGUGCUGAAAAGUGAAGGAAGGUUAAUUCAUCUAAAAUUUUGUGAAAAGUUUGUACCAUAAGUUGUACUCCAGGGCCUAAAAUAUAUUACUUGAUGUGACUACACAGCAAGAGGUCAAUAAUUAGACUGUGACUAGAGUACUCGCUGUUCGUCUUCGUUAUGCCAUGUGUCUGAUUCCAGGGAAGCCAUAAGUAUUGAGGAGUUCCCUAUGCAUGGCAAUUGGUGUCACCUACAAUCAAAUGUGUAGGGAAGAUCAGAAGACCAACUCAAGAGAAAAGAGGAAAUACGACAUGCCUGUUAUUUACAUUAGUUAAGCAAGGGAGAAGUAUGUUUAUGCAAGGAACCCUCACCUGCAAAGACAAUUCAAGUCUUCAGGGGAAUUCAUGGAUCAAGAAAAAUAAUACAUUCUUCCCAUAUUAUAGAAUAUUUCCAUCACUAAAUAUAACUCGAUGCCAACUUCUGCAGUAUCCAUCUGUAUCACAAAAAGCCCAAUAAAUAGUGGAGUUGG
Leopardus geoffroyi (Geoffroy's cat) is the source of this 5860-nucleotide long non-coding RNA. RefSeq lists it as uncharacterized. NCBI's taxonomy places the organism in Eukaryota, Metazoa, Chordata, Mammalia, Carnivora, Felidae. The transcript is spliced from 3 exons. The record is from RefSeq and is a predicted model, not a curated record.